This 583-nucleotide long non-coding RNA is filed under the name Ricinus communis (castor bean). Its description in RNAcentral is "long non-coding RNA (RCOM_LNC003121)". Lineage: Eukaryota; Viridiplantae; Streptophyta; Magnoliopsida; Malpighiales; Euphorbiaceae. The record is from RNAcentral.
UCGUAAUAAAAUACGUACCAAUAAUUUAGUUUCAUUUAUUUGUACUUAUAUUACAAACGACAAUGAUAAAUUAAUUGAAAUAAAAAAUCACAUUAAUUAUACCUUAUAAAGAAACUAGUUCUUUUCUAAUAAGGAAAUUUCAGACAUAUUUCCAAUAAAGCCAGGGGUUACUUGAUGCAUGGGCAAUCAUUAGCCCUGCAUUGAUGAUGUUAAUCACAUAAUGGCGUUGUGCCAAUUUUUAAUUUUUUUUUUUGGGACCCAGAACACAAGCUCAUUGGAGUUGAGGUCUCCUAACUUGCCUUUAUUUAGUUUAAAGACUUUGGUACCUAAUUAAAUGGAAAGGUAAAACUGUAGGCACCCAAUUAAUAACUAAAGUAAGUCAAUACCAAAUUUAAGUGUAGGAUUUAUUGUCACUAAUAGCACAUUUAAUAAUGUAAAUAUUCAUCUAUAAUGCUUUUAGCUUGUCUAUGAGUGAAAACUCAAUUCAGUACCAUCCACGUAAUACCAGCCACAGUUUUCUUUUUCUUCCCAAAUUUUCACGCAGAAAAGUAAUAAUAACAAUAAUUUUCGUCAGUCUUUGNNN